Molecule: unclassified non-coding RNA, 260 nt
Filed under: Umbilicariales sp.
Lineage: Eukaryota; Fungi; Ascomycota; Lecanoromycetes; Umbilicariales
Description: partial contains 5.8S ribosomal RNA, internal transcribed spacer 2, and large subunit ribosomal RNA
Source: RNAcentral
CGCACAUUGCGCCCCCUGGUAUUCCGGGGAGCAUGCCUGUUCGAGCGUCAUUUUCCCCUUCAAGCGUAGCUUGAUGUUGAGCCUUGCGUCUAUAGGGACGGGCUUGAAAGUCAGUUGGUGCACACCUUCUAGCUCCAGAUGCAGUAGUAAUCACCUCACCUGAAAGCUGUUGAAGGAUGACGUAUCAGAACAACAGUGUGUGCUGCUCAGCACAUCUGAAGAUUGACCUCGAAUCAGGUAGGGAUACCCGCUGAACUUAA